Musa acuminata AAA Group (dessert banana) is the source of this 2144-nucleotide RNA transcript. RefSeq lists it as uncharacterized. The transcript has 9 exons. The record is from RefSeq and is a predicted model, not a curated record. NCBI's taxonomy places the organism in Eukaryota, Viridiplantae, Streptophyta, Magnoliopsida, Zingiberales, Musaceae.
GAAGGACGGUACGAGCCUCGAUUGGUCGGUUAACUUUCCGCGGAGGAGUAUUAGGGGAUUGAUGGCGGUGGCGAUAGCGAACGCUUUCGGUACUUCCCAACAGCUCCGCCACCGUCCUUCGGGACCUCCCAGCCUACCCCGUCGCCCCUUUGCCGGACGGUGGAGGCUCGCCAUCUCUUCCCACGAUGAGGCCGUAACGGAGAAACUGUGCCUGCUUGGUGCAGCGGUGGCGUCCCAGUCGGUGGGGAAUUCCAGCAAGCAGCUUGCGGGCAAGCGGAGGGUCUUCUUCUUGGACGUGAAUCCCUUGUGCUUUGAUGGGUCCCGCCCGAGUCUCCGCUCCUUUGCGCGAUGGCUCGACCUUUUCUUCUCCGAAGUUAGCCUCCGGGAUCCCGUCAUCGCCGUAUUGGAUGGAGAAGAAGGGAAUGAGUAUCGGAGGCAUCUGUUGCCAUCAUAUAAAGCACACAGGAAGAGAUACUUGAGGCAAUCGCGGGUAUUGCGGAGUGCUCAUGAUACUUAUCAAAGCACCACCGAGUGCAAAGUUAUAGACGUUCUCCUGAAGUGCAACGUGCCGGUAGUCAAAGUUCAUGGAUAUGAGGCAGAUGAUGUAGUGGCAACAUUAACAGAUCAAGUUUUAAAAAAGGGAGCACGAGUUGUUAUUGGGUCUCCUGAUAAAGAUUUCAAGCAGUUGAUAUCUGAAGAUGUUCAAAUUGUGAUGCCCAUGCCUGAUUUUGGUCGAUGGUCUUUCUACACAUUGAGACACUACAUUGAUCAGUACAACUGUGAUCCAAGUUCUGAUUUGAGCCUUCGGUGUUUCAUCGGUGAUGAAGUUGAUGGUGUUCCUGGGAUUCAGCAGUUGGUUCCUGGAUUUGGUCGCAAGACAGCCCUCAAACUCUUGAAGAAACACGGCUCUUUAGAAGAUUUACUUAGUGCAGCUGCAAUAAGAACAGUAGGCAAAGACUAUGCACAAAAUGCACUCACAAAAUAUGCUGAUUAUCUGAGAAGAAAUUAUAAGGUUCUUAGCCUAAGGAGGGAUGUUAAUGUUCAGCUUCAAGAUGAUUGGUUAUCAGAAAGAAACACUAGCAAUGACUUGGUAAUCUUGUCAAACUUUCUCAGAAAGUUGGGGGAAAGGCCUGAAGGCCAGAAGCUAAAUAACAGAGAAAGAAGCAAAUCCUUUGAGAGCAGAAUCUCAAAGGGUGAUCGAUCUGUAUAUCUCGGUGAUGGUUGAGGACGACAACUGCUUGACCAAGCAGAUAUUUUGUUUGGUUUCCAGCCUAAAGGAAAUAGCUAUUCAUGCAUUGCAUCAAUGAUGUCUUUAUGCUGCCUUCUUCACCGAGAUUAUACCUCAAAGGGAGAGUUGUAUCAGUGGAAUGACACACAGUGGACCUCUGCGACAAAGCAUAUGCGGAAAUUAUUUAGCCUAUAUUCAUAUACUGCACAGUGUUCAAAGGGUUCAAACUGUGGAGCCCAACUAAGACAUCUGCCCUCAGGACUGCUUGCAGAGGUGCUAAAGUUUAAUAAGAUGACACUACUGGAUCAGAUGAAAGGUGGAAUCUGAACACUGAUGAGGCUUGUUCCUUGUACUGACUCAAUUCCUGGUGAGUAUCCAUGCAACAUGUGCAAGCUCUUGAACAGAAUAAAUGAUGGUCAUUCUACUUUACAUCGGAAAGACUCCAUGUGUAAGCAUUUAUUCACUACCUGAAUGGCUGAAUUACCUUCCUCUGAAAAAAAAAGAGUUAUGAAAAUAAAGUUAAACUACCUGAAGGACUUGAAUUUAGUUUGCCACUGGAUUUGUUCAAGCAAUUUUGAGUGGCACAAUAUCUACCAGCUGAAUUGUAGCCUCUUGGCAACAGGUGAAAGCCACAUGAGGUGUUUUCACUUUCUUGUCUUCAGUUCCAACUCUUGAGACACAUCACAUGAACUGGCAGAUCUCAGAAAUGUGGAGCUUUAGUUCUGCUCGGAGCUCAAACAAGCAGAAUCAUGUUCUUUGAGCUUAUAAGAGGACAUGAAGGUGAGGUUUGUCCCAAAUCAUUUAAAGCAGUGUACUGAUCUGGACAUGGAAGAGUUCCAGGUUGGUGUAGAAUGAGCAACUUGGUGACUUGAAUUAACAUUGAAUUCCUAAGUAGUGUCAGAGAUUUUAGCAGCUC